AUUGAACGCUGGCGGCAUGCCUUACACAUGCAAGUCGAACGGCAGCAUGGAGAGCUUGCUCUCUGAUGGCGAGUGGCGAACGGGUGAGUAAUGCAUCGGAACGUACCGUGUAAUGGGGGAUAACGUAGCGAAAGUUACGCUAAUACCGCAUACGACCUGAGGGUGAAAGCAGGGGAUCGCAAGACCUUGCGUUAUACGAGCGGCCGAUGUCAGAUUAGCUGGUUGGUGAGGUAAAGGCUCACAAAGGCGACGAUCUGUAGCGGGUCUGAGAGGAGGGUCCGCCACACGGGGACUGAGACAGGGCCCAGACUCCUACGGGAGGCAGCAGUGGGGAAUUUUGGACAAUGGGGGAAACCCUGAUCCAGCCAUGCCGGGUGGGUGAAGAAGGCCUUCGGGUUGAAAAGCUCUUUCGGCCGGGAAGAAAUCGCACAGGCUAAUACUCUGUGUGGAUGACGGUACCGGCAUAAGAAGCACCGGCUAACUACGUGCCAGCAGCCGCGGUAA
This 504-nucleotide ribosomal RNA is filed under the name uncultured bacterium. RNAcentral describes it as "partial 16S ribosomal RNA". It matches the Rfam family "Bacterial small subunit ribosomal RNA", at positions 29 to 523 of the family's 1533-position model. The record is from RNAcentral.